Molecule: ribosomal RNA, 494 nt
Filed under: uncultured bacterium
Lineage: Bacteria
Description: partial 16S ribosomal RNA
Rfam family: Bacterial small subunit ribosomal RNA
Source: RNAcentral
GACGAACGCUGGCGGCGCGCUUAACACAUGCAAGUCGAACGGAAAGGCCUGCUUUCCCUUGUGGAUUGCGGGUACUCGAGUGGCGAACGGGUGAGUAACACGUGAGUGAUCUGCCCCCAACUUGGGUAUAAGCCUGGGAAACUGGGUCUAAUUCCCGAUAGCACUGCAGGGUGGUGCCUGUGGUGGAAAACGAUUUUCUAGUGGUUGGGGAUGAGCUCGCGGCCUAUCAGCUUGUUGGUGGGGUAAUGGCCUACCAAGGCGGCGACGGGUAGCCGGCCUGAGAGGGUGGACGGCCACAUUGGGACUGAGAUACGGCCCAGACGCCUACGGGAGGCAGCAGUGGGGAAUAUUGCACAAUGGGCGGAAGCCUGAUGCAGCGACGCCGCGUGGGGGAUGACGGCCUUCGGGUUGUAAACUCCUUUCGACCGCGAGGAAGCCACCUGGUUGGAAGGGUGGUGACGGUAGUGGUAGAAGAAGCACCGGCUAACUACGUG